GCCCAAGAAACAAGAACGGAGCACCGCGGAAUCAGUGGUUUUAUUUUUGAAUACUGAUUUGGUGUGCGUGCGUGCGCGCGCGCGUUUCACUGUUGCCGUUUUCUUUCGGCACCUGACUUUUCUUCCCACAGCCCGCACGCGGUUCUCGAUUAUCUGGUGAACAGUCUACCGGCUGCGACAACUUCGGCUUCCCUGGGGAAGCGUAGGGGUUCCUGGCCACCGCCGCAGCUAUAAGCGCGCCACUCAGUUUCCUGCGGUCGGCGAGUUCCCUUAUUAGUCCGCGGGCGCAGCAGAGCCUAUCCGGUCGAGUCGGGCCCCCGGGCAGCAGAAAGACUCCAGAGAAGCAAUCCCCAGCCUGGGUCUCCAGGCAAGCAAGCCCCGCAGCUCCUCCGCUGCUCCUCCGCAGCGCAUUGUGCCUGGCUACCCACCUGUCUGGGGUCCCCAUGGCCACUCCGGGCCUUCGUCCCUUGCUCUGGGCCUUGUCAGCUUCAGGCCAGCGCUACCCAUUGCUCUUCCCGUCCAGAUCCCACUGAGUUUGAGCGCUGCUGGCUUAAAGAUUUGUCCCACCCGGGACAGGGGGUGAAAAAGAAGCCGCGUUCAUUUUCCACGACAGCGUACAGGCACUAUUUUAU
RNAcentral lists this long non-coding RNA (632 nucleotides) under Marmota monax (woodchuck). The record is from RNAcentral. Lineage: Eukaryota; Metazoa; Chordata; Mammalia; Rodentia; Sciuridae.